CAAUAGCGUAUAUUUAAGUUGUUGCAGUUAAAAAGCUCGUAGUUGGAUUUCUGGUGGGAGCGAUCGGUCUGGCGCUUAGCGCGAGUACUUGCAUCGUCUCCGGCCAUCCUUGGGGAGAGUCUGUCUGGCAUUAGGUUGUCGGGCAGAGGAUCCUCAUCGUUUACUGUGAAAAAAUUAGAGUGUUCAAAGCAGGCUUAUGCCGUUGAAUAUAUUAGCAUGGAAUAAUAAGAUAGGACUUUGGUACUAUUUUGUUGGUUUGCGCACCAAAGUAAUGAUUAAUAGGGACAGUUGGGGGUAUUCGUAUUCCGUUGUCAGAGGUGAAAUUCUUGGAUUUACGGAAGACGAACUACUGCGAAAGCAUUUACCAAGGAUGUUUUCAUUAA
RNAcentral lists this ribosomal RNA (383 nucleotides) under uncultured eukaryote. RNAcentral's name for it is "partial 18S ribosomal RNA". It matches the Rfam family "Eukaryotic small subunit ribosomal RNA", at positions 592 to 976 of the family's 1831-position model. The record is from RNAcentral.